Molecule: unclassified non-coding RNA, 322 nt
Filed under: Hevea brasiliensis (rubber tree)
Lineage: Eukaryota; Viridiplantae; Streptophyta; Magnoliopsida; Malpighiales; Euphorbiaceae
Source: RNAcentral
GGAACAAAUUCAAUAAUCAUCAAUUUAAAAUAUACACAUUAUGAAACGUUAUUAAAUCCACAGAAAGCCCAAAAUCACAGAUGCAAAAUAAAAUCAAAACCAGUGACAUACAAUACUAAUCAAAUCUAUUCUAAUUACAAUAAAUCUACCAAUCAACAAACCAUAAAAGAAAAUCUCAUAUCAUAUUAUUGUAUGAUUAUUAACAAAAGAAUUGGGAGGAGAAGAGAAUGAAUCCAUUUAACGUUUGUGGGUAGUCUUAUGAUACUUGUCUUUGAUCCAAUGGAAUCCGGUGAUGGUACCUUCUUUGACCUUCUUCAUACCA